This 392-nucleotide long non-coding RNA is filed under the name Parus major (Great Tit). Its description in RNAcentral is "lncRNA (ENSPMJG00000015789.1)". Lineage: Eukaryota; Metazoa; Chordata; Aves; Passeriformes; Paridae. The record is from RNAcentral.
CCAUCACCCACGUCAUCGUCCCCAAGCAGCUGGGAGGCCCCGACUCCUGCACCACGGAGAACGAGGAGGAGCUCUUUGUCAUCCAGGACCAGCAUGGCCUCGUCACCCUGGGCUGGAUCCAUACCCACCCCACCCAGACAGCCUUCCUGUCCAGCGUGGACCUGCACACCCACUGCUCCUACCAGAUGAUGCUGCCGGAGUCCAUCGCCAUCGUGUGCUCUCCCAAAUACCAGGAGUGAGUAUGGAUUGCAGGAGAGAGGGCUGGGGAGGCUCUUCCCUCUGCCUGGGCUGUCAGCCACACCUUUCCUCUCUGAGAUCCCUGGCACAGGGGUGGGGAAUGUCACAGUGUGACUGGACAGCUCCUGUCAGCUGUGGCUGGCAGGGCUUGUCCA